This 155-nucleotide unclassified non-coding RNA is filed under the name soil metagenome. Its description in RNAcentral is "partial internal transcribed spacer 1". The record is from RNAcentral.
CAGGACUCGCAAGACUCCUUAAACCCCUGUGAACUUACUGUUUAUACGUUGCUUCGGCGGGUGCUCCGGGGUCCGCCCCGGGGCGCUGCGCCCGCCGGACAGCCUACUUAAUUCUGUUUCUCUGCGUUGGCAUCUCGAGUAAGCAAAAUAAGUUA